Molecule: ribosomal RNA, 484 nt
Filed under: uncultured bacterium
Lineage: Bacteria
Description: partial 16S ribosomal RNA
Rfam family: Bacterial small subunit ribosomal RNA
Source: RNAcentral
GACGAACGCUGGCAGCGUGCUUAACACAUGCAAGUCGAACGAUGAAGCUAGAGCUUGCUCUGGUGAAUUAGUGGCGAACGGGUGAGUAACACGUGAGUAACCUGCCCCGAACUCUGGGAUAACUGCUGGAAACGGUAGCUAAUACUGGAUACGACCUACGAAGGCAUCUUCUGUAGGUGGAAAGAAUUUCGGUUCGGGAUGGACUCGCGGCCUAUCAGCUUGUUGGUGAGGUAAUGGCUCACCAAGGCGACGGCGGGUAGGCGGCCGGAGGGGGGGACCGGCCACACUGGGACUGAGACACGGCCCAGACUCCUACGGGAGGCAGCAGUGGGGAAUAUUGCACAAUGGGCGCAAGCCUGAUGCAGCAACGCCGCGUGAGGGAUGACGGCCUUCGGGUUGUAAACCUCUUUUAGUAGGGAAGAAGCGAAAGUGACGGUACCUGCAGAAAAAGCACCGGCUAACUACGUGCCAGCAGCCGCGGUAA